UGCAGCUGAUUGGCCUCCAACAAUGCAAAUAGUUCGCCUUAUAUCUCAGGAUCACAUGAACAACAAGCAAUAUGUUGGCAAGGCAGAUUUCUUAGUUUUCCAAGCACUAAAUCAGCACGGUUUUCUUGGACAACUACAAGAAAAGAAGCUUGUGAGUCAUUUGAUACCGUUGCAUCCUCCUCCUGGCGAUACAUCAACACCCCUCCUGGUGAUACAUCAACAUAGGGAACCGUACAGAUUAAUGGCAUUAAAGAACAAAUUGAAUCUGCAAAACAAUUGGUCAAUGAAGUCAUCAGUGAGGU
Magnolia sinica is the source of this 302-nucleotide long non-coding RNA. RefSeq lists it as uncharacterized. The transcript has 3 exons. NCBI's taxonomy places the organism in Eukaryota, Viridiplantae, Streptophyta, Magnoliopsida, Magnoliales, Magnoliaceae. The record is from RefSeq and is a predicted model, not a curated record.